UACGUAGGGUGCAAGCAUUAAUCGGAAUUAUUGGGCGUAGAGGGCGCGUAGGCGGGAAUGUAAGUCAGAUGUGAAAUCCCGGGGCUCAACCCCGGAACAGCAUUUGAAACUACAUUUCUAGAGGGUAGGCGGAGAAAAUGGAAUUCCACAAGUAGCGGUGAAAUGCGUAGAUAUGUGGAAGAACACCAGUGGCGAAAGCGAUUUUCUAGCUUAUACCUGACGCUGAGGCGCGAAAGCAAGGGGAUCAAACAGG
This 253-nucleotide ribosomal RNA is filed under the name uncultured bacterium. RNAcentral describes it as "partial 16S ribosomal RNA". It matches the Rfam family "Bacterial small subunit ribosomal RNA", at positions 524 to 776 of the family's 1533-position model. The record is from RNAcentral.